This 486-nucleotide ribosomal RNA is filed under the name uncultured bacterium. Its description in RNAcentral is "partial 16S ribosomal RNA". It matches the Rfam family "Bacterial small subunit ribosomal RNA", at positions 28 to 507 of the family's 1533-position model. The record is from RNAcentral.
GACGAACGCUGGCGGCGUGCUUAACACAUGCAAGUCGAACGCUGAAGACCUGGCUUUUGUUGGGUUGGCUGAGUGGCGAACGGGUGAGUAACACGUGAGUAACCUGCCCUCUUCUUUGGGAUAACGCCCGGAAACGGGUGCUAAUACUGGAUAUUCACUGGCCUUCGCAUGGGGGUUGGUGGAAAGGUUUGUUCUGGUGGGGGAUGGGCUCGCGGCCUAUCAGCUUGUUGGUGGGGUGAUGGCCUACCAAGGCUUUGACGGGUAGCCGGCCUGAGAGGGUGACCGGUCACAUUGGGACUGAGAUACGGCCCAGACUCCUACGGGAGGCAGCAGUGGGGAAUAUUGCACAAUGGGCGAAAGCCUGAGGCAGCGACGCCGCGUGAGGGAUGGAGGCCUUCGGGUUGUAAACCUCUUUCGCUCAUGGUCAAGCCGCAACUGUGGGUUGUGGUGAGGGUAGUGGGUAAAGAAGCGCCGGCUAACUACGUG